GGGUGCAGGAGCCUAAGCACUUGGCCAUCUUCUACUGCUUUCCCAGGCUGUAGCAGAGAACCUGGAUCAGAAGUGGAGCAGCCGGGACUCGAACUGGCUUCCAUAUGGGAUCCUGCCCCCUGCAGGCGGGGGGGGGGGGGGGGGGGCUUUAUCCACUUUGCCAUAGUGCCAGCCCCUUGUGUUACUUUUAUGUAUAAUAGAAUAUGAUUUACAACAGCACACUUCAGAAAUAUUGUAUUGCGAAUGGGAGUUUCUGUUACCUACCUGUCUACCUUCCUGUCUGUCUCUCUCUACCUAUCUAUCUGUCUGUCCCUGUCUGUUUAUCUACCUAUCUUCCUGCCUGUCUAUUUAUCUAAAAGAUAAUGCUUAUAGGUUAGGAUAGUAAAUGUGUUUCUUUUUUUUUUUUUUUUUUAGAUUUAUUUACUUAUUUGAAAGUCAAAGAGAGAGAAAGAGAUUUUCCAUCUGUUGGUUCACUGCCCAAAUGGCUGCAACAGCCAGAGUUGGGCUGGUCCAAAGCCAGGAACCAGGAGCCUCUUCCAGGUCUUCCACAUGGCCGCAGGGGCCCACAUACUUGGGCCAUUUCUGCUGCUUUCCCAGGUGCCUUGGCAGGGAGCUAGAUCAGAAGUGGAGCAGUCAGAACUCAAACCCAUGCCCAUGUGGGAUGUCGACCCUGCAGAUGGUGAUUUACCCAUUGUGCCACCACGCUGGCCGCUGAAAUGCAUCUCUUACUGCAGGUCCUCAAGCACAAAGGUUUGUCGCAGACAGAGGAAACGUGUAGCCAUGUCGGAGCUGACGGGCAACACACCAAACCCAAGGAUCUGUCUUGUCCUGUGGGCAGUGCGGAGCCAUGGCGCUUAGAAAAGGGCAAGACGAGUGCCGUCGCCCUGUGGAGCAAGAGAGCACCUGCCAGAAAGCUCACCCAGCGGGCAUCUGAGGCUCGGAGAGAAACCUGCAAGGAGCAAGCCAGCUUGCAAAGACGGAAGAAGCCCCCCCCCCCCCCGCCACCUCCGCGUUGCAGAGGGCUCGGGAGAGCUGGGCUCGCCAAUGUGAGGAGAUCCGGGCCCAAGCGCUCACUGCCCGUUUGUUCCUCUGUGAGUUCCUUGCGUCUGCGUGCACAGAGUGAUCUUGACUUUCGAAGCUGACAUCCAAGUAAAUCUAAAAGACUUCUUGCCCAAAUGAUAACAAAGGUAUUUUAUGGUAGUUUUCCCUUUCUUUUUUUUUUUUUUCAUUAUUUAUUUACUUGAAAGUCAGAGAUACAGAGAGAAAGGGAAGACAGGGAGAGUCUGUCCAUCUUCUGGUUCACGAUCACCAGAUGGCUGCAAAGGGGGGGCUGGGCCAGGUUGAAGCCGAGAGCCAGGAGCUUCAUCCGGGUCUCUCACAUGGGAAGGAGGAGCCCAAGGACUUGGGCCAUCUUGUUCUUCUAUUUUUUUUAAAGAUUUAUUUAUUUGAAAGGCAGAGUUACAGACAGAGAGAAGCAGAGAGAGAGAGAGGUCUUCCAUCCGCUGGUUCACUCCCCAAAUAGCCGCAAUGGCCGGAGCUGAGUUGACCCGAAGCCAAGAGCCAGGAGCUUCUUCUGGGUCUUCCACACUGGGGCAGAGGCCCAAGGACUUGGGCCAUCUUCCACUGCUUUCCCAGGCCAUAGCAGAGAGCUGGAUCAGAAGUGGAGCAGCCGGGACUCGAACCGGCAUCCACAUGGGAUGCCGGCACUGCAGGCGCCGGCUUUACCUGCUACACCACAGCUCCAGCCCCCAUUGGGUCAUCUUCUGCUGCUUUUCCCAGGCCAUUAUCAGGGAGCUGGAUAGGAAGUGGAGCAGCUGGGACGUGAACCGGCACUCAUAUGGGAUGCCAGGGUCACAGGUGACAGCUUUACCUGCCACACACCUAUGCUGUUUCCCUUUUCCUUUUCUUAAUUUUUAAAACAUUACAUAUUUUAAUUAUGGUAAAAUACACACACCAUAAAACAUGCCAUCUUAACCACUUUAAUUUUUUUUUUUUUGACAGGCAGAGUGGACAGUGAGAGAGAGAGACAGAGAGAAAGGUCUUCCUUUGCUGUUGGUUCACCCUCCAAUGGCCGCCGCAGCCAGCGCACUGUGGCCGGCGCACCGCGCUGAUCCGAUGGCAGGAGCCAGGAGCCAGGUGCUU
Molecule: long non-coding RNA, 2142 nt
Filed under: Oryctolagus cuniculus (rabbit)
Lineage: Eukaryota; Metazoa; Chordata; Mammalia; Lagomorpha; Leporidae
Description: lncRNA (ENSOCUG00000034752.1)
Source: RNAcentral